This 471-nucleotide ribosomal RNA is filed under the name uncultured bacterium. RNAcentral describes it as "bacterial SSU rRNA". It matches the Rfam family "Bacterial small subunit ribosomal RNA", at positions 355 to 825 of the family's 1533-position model. The record is from RNAcentral.
UGGGGAAUUGUUCACAAUGGGCGCAAGCCUGAUGACGCAACGCCGCGUGGAGGAUGAAGGUCUUCGGAUUGUAAACUCCUGUUGCUCGGGACGAAAAGCUCUGACCCAACACGUCAGAGUCUGACGGUACCGAGUGAGGAAGCCCCGGCUAACUCUGUGCCAGCAGCCGCGGUAAUACAGAGGGGGCAAGCGUUGUUCGGAAUUACUGGGCGUAAAGGGCGCGUAGGAGGCCCUCUAAGUCAGACGUGAAAUCCCCGGGCUCAACCCGGGAACUGCGUCUGAUACUGGAGGGCUUGAAUCCGGGAGAGGGAUGCGGAAUUCCAGGUGUAGCGGUGAAAUGCGUAGAUAUCUGGAGGAACACCGGUGGCGAAGGCGGCAUCCUGGACCGGUAUUGACGCUGAGGCGCGAAAGCCAGGGGAGCAAACGGGAUUAGAUACCCUCGUAGUCCCUGAGCGGGCUGGCAAGGCGCAU